UGGGGAUAAUGCACCCGCUGAGGACGG
This 27-nucleotide non-coding RNA is filed under the name Homo sapiens (human). The record is from RNAcentral. Lineage: Eukaryota; Metazoa; Chordata; Mammalia; Primates; Hominidae.